AGAGUUUGAUCCUGGCUCAGAAUGAACGCUGGCGGCGUGCUUAACACAUGCAAGUCGCACGAGAACGCUUCAGCUUGCUGAAGUUAGUAAAGUGGCGCACGGGUGAGUAACGCGUGGGUAAUCUACCCCCGAAUUGGGGAUAACAUUGCGAAAGUGAUGCUAAUACCGAAUAAUAUCUUAAGAACCUCGGUUUUUAAGAUCAAAGGUGGCCUCUACAUGAAAGCUUCUGUUUGGGGAUGAGCCCGCGUACCAUUAGCUUGUUGGUAGGGUAAUGGCCUACCAAGGCUACGAUGGUUAGCUGGUCUGAGAGGAUGAUCAGCCACACUGGAACUGACACACGGUCCAGACUCCUACGGGAGGCAGCAGUGAGGAAUCUUGCGCAAUGGGGGAAACCCUGACGCAGCAACGCCGCGUGAGUGAUGAAGGCUUUCGGGUCGUAAAGCUCUGUCAAGUGGGAAGAACCCACAUGGUGAUAAUAUCGCCAUGUGUUGACGGUACCACUGAAGGAAGCACCGGCUAACUCCGUGCCAGCAGCCGCGGUAAUACGGGGGGUGCAAGCGUUAUUCGGAAUUACUGGGCGUAAAGAGCGCGUAGGCGGUCUUUUAAGUCAGGUGUGAAAGCCCGGGGCUCAACCCCGGAAGUGCACUUGAAACUAAGGGACUUGAGUAUGGGAGAGGGAAGUGGAAUUCCUGGUGUAGCGGUGAAAUGCGUAGAUAUCAGGAGGAACACCGGUGGCGAAGGCGACUUCCUGGACCAAUACUGACGCUGAGGCGCGAAGGCGUGGGGAGCAAACAGGAUUAGAUACCCUGGUAGUCCACGCAGUAAACGGUGAACACUAGGUGUAGCGGGUAUUGACCCCUGCUGUGCCGCAGCAAACGCAUUAAGUGUUCCGCCUGGGGAGUACGACCGCAAGGUUAAAACUCAAAGGAAUUGACGG
Molecule: ribosomal RNA, 937 nt
Filed under: uncultured bacterium
Lineage: Bacteria
Description: bacterial SSU rRNA
Rfam family: Bacterial small subunit ribosomal RNA
Source: RNAcentral